This 96-nucleotide small nucleolar RNA is filed under the name Helicosporidium sp. ATCC 50920. RNAcentral describes it as "Small nucleolar RNA Z103". It matches the Rfam family "Small nucleolar RNA Z103". Rfam says of the family: This family consists of several snoRNA Z103 sequences which are members of the C/D class of snoRNA which contain the C (UGAUGA) and D (CUGA) box motifs. Lineage: Eukaryota; Viridiplantae; Chlorophyta; Trebouxiophyceae; Chlorellales; Chlorellaceae. The record is from Rfam by way of RNAcentral.
UGGGAGACGACGAUUCUUUCCCCAAAUGAUCGACUCCGAUUCAAACAAGUGCUGUCAUCUGUUUCGACAGAGCUUUGCCAGAUUUACCUGAUCCCU